This 497-nucleotide ribosomal RNA is filed under the name uncultured bacterium. Its description in RNAcentral is "partial 16S ribosomal RNA". It matches the Rfam family "Bacterial small subunit ribosomal RNA", at positions 28 to 507 of the family's 1533-position model. The record is from RNAcentral.
GAUGAACGCUGGCGGCGUGCCUAAUACAUGCAAGUCGAGCGAACGGACGAGAAGCUUGCUUCUCUGAUGUUAGCGGCGGACGGGUGAGUAACACGUGGAUUACCUACCUAUAAGACUGGGAUAACUUCGGCAAACCGUAGCUAAUACCGGAUAAUAUUUUGACCCGCUUGGUUCUAAAGUGAUAGACGGUCUUGCUGUCACUUAUCGACGGAUCCGCGCUGCAUUAGCUAGUUGGUAAGGUAACGGCUUACCGAGGCAACGAUGCAUAGCCGACGUGAGAGGGGGAUCGGCCACACGGGAACUGAGACACGGUCCAGACUCCUACGGGAGGCAGCAGUAGGGAAUCGUCCGCAAUGGGCGAAAGCCUGACGGAGGAAUGCCGCGUGGGUGAUGAAGGGCUUCGGAUCGUAAAACUCUGUUAGUAGGGAAGAACAUAUGUGUAAGUGACUGUGCACAUCUUGACGGUACCUAAUCAGAAAGCCACGGCUAACUACGUG